CUUAAUUUGUCCUUCCUGUGCAGCUUGAGCAGAAAGUCUGUUCAUCUAUUUAACUUCUAAGACUGCCAGUGUGCUUUAUAAAUGCAGCCUGAGAAAGAUACGUUCUACAUGCAUACCAACCCAUACUCUUUGGGUCACUGUCAGAUUCUCAGGGAGAGAUGAUCAGUGAGAGAGACUGAACUACAGUGGUGAGCCUUCACGAUGCAGCAUUUCUCACAAACCUGUAGCACUACAGAGGUUACCAUUGCACCGGCAGGUCCUGGAACAAGAGGAUUCCGUCUUGGCAAAGCACAAUGGUUAAAGCAUCUUGAAUACGGUUAUAGUUUUUGUAUGGAGAAAAGACUAACUUGUAUACGAAUGAAUCUACUCAACCCUUCUGAGGCCACAUCUGGAGCACUGUGUCCAGCACUGGGCUCCUCAGUACAAGAGAAAUAUAAUACUACUGGAGACAAUCCAGCAAAGUGACAUAGAGGUGAUGACAUAGAGGUGAUGAAGAGACUGGAGCAUAAACAGCCACUCUGUCCAAAUAAUGUAUGAAGCAUACAGCCACAGACGGUGUAAUACACUUCUGGAGAGUGACUUCCUUUCAGAACUGUGCAGUACAGGGACCAUGAUUUAUUCCUUCCUUCUGAUUUAUUGUCAGAUAACACUGAUUUAAUGCAGGUCUUUUCCACUUAGUGGGAAGAACAACAAAAAUAUAUAUUUGAUAUCCAGUAGAAAAAUAGGUUCUAAAAAUGUCCCUACACCUAAAGCUUGUUUGUUUGUUUGUUUUGUUUGAUUUUCUUUUAAAAAGCUGU
RNAcentral lists this long non-coding RNA (797 nucleotides) under Cairina moschata (Muscovy duck). RNAcentral's name for it is "domestica (muscovy Duck (domestic type)) lncRNA (ENSCMMG00000010105.1)". Lineage: Eukaryota; Metazoa; Chordata; Aves; Anseriformes; Anatidae. The record is from RNAcentral.